Molecule: ribosomal RNA, 210 nt
Filed under: uncultured bacterium
Lineage: Bacteria
Description: partial 16S ribosomal RNA
Rfam family: Bacterial small subunit ribosomal RNA
Source: RNAcentral
GAGGUAAUGUAUAGGAAUCUACCUAGUAGUACGGAAUAAUGUUGGAAAACGGCAACUAAUACCAUAUACGCCCUGCGGGGGAAAAAUUUAUUGCUAUUAGAUGAGCCUAUAUUAGAUUAGCUAGUUGGUGGAGUAAUAGCCUACCAAGGCAAUGAUCUAUAGCUGACCUGAGAGGAUGAUCAGCCACACUGGAACUGAGAUACGGUCCAG